RNAcentral lists this ribosomal RNA (493 nucleotides) under uncultured bacterium. Its description in RNAcentral is "bacterial SSU rRNA". It matches the Rfam family "Bacterial small subunit ribosomal RNA", at positions 903 to 1397 of the family's 1533-position model. The record is from RNAcentral.
AAAGGAAUAGACGGGGGCCCGCACAAGCAGCGGAGCGUGUGGUUUAAUUCGAAGCAACGCGAAGAACCUUACCAAGGCUUGACAUCCCUCGCUAUCCUAGGAAACUAGGAGUUCCCUUCGGGGACGAGGAGACAGGUGGUGCACGGUUGUCGUCAGCUCGUGUCGUGAGAUGUUGGGUUAAGUCCCGCAACGAGCGCAACCCUUGUACUUAGUUGCCAGCAUUAAGUUGGGCACUCUAAGUAGACUGCCGGUGACAAACCGGAGGAAGGUGGGGAUGACGUCAAAUCAUCAUGCCCCUUAUGUCUUGGGCUACACACGCGCUACAAUGGUCUGUACAAAGGGAAGCGAAGUCGCGAGGCAGAGCGGAUCCCAUAAAACAGAUCUCAGUUCAGAUUGCAGGCUGCAACUCGCCUGCAUGAAGUAGGAGUUGCUAGUAAUCGCGGAUCAGCACGCCGCGGUGAAUGCGUUCCCGGGCCUUGUACACACCGCCCGU